GCCCCCGGACCCUGGAUGCUGUCUCUUAGCACAGGCUCCUGGUUGAUUCGAAAGUCUUCUCUCUGCGAGGUAGGUCUGGUGGUUUCAUCCCGCAGGGUGCAUCUGUAGAGGAGAGGCUUGAGAAAAAGGAAGAGCAGGACAAUGGCCUGGAUUUCUGGAGGUAUGUGGGGCUGGGGGUGCAGGGGGGAAAUGAGCAGCAACCAUUGAGUGGAGACCCAAAUCGGGGUGGGGUGACUGCGAUCAGAACACGUCAGGCGCAUCCAAGAGUACCUUCCAAAUUUCCCCUUUUUACUAGCCUUCUAAGUCCUUCCUUUGCCUUUCUCCUUCACCUCCACCCGAAAUUGGUGGCAGGAAAAGAUGAGCUAGGAGGUGAGGGUAAGACAAAAGUCAUAAUUACAAGUGUCACUGCACAACCUGUUUUCUAGAAUAUACCUAGGGGCACCCUUCCCCCAAUUUAUGCUGCGCAAGGCGGUGGGAUGUGGUGCACCUAGUGGUGAAUCCUCAGAAUUGGAGAAGGGAGGCAUGUGAAAGUGUGACGUCAAGAGAAGAUGUCGUUGUCUGCAACCCUGAAACUAAGAGCUUAAGUAAUAGAGAACAUUCUACCAAGAGGACUUUAAAUGUUGGAAGACAAAUAAUAUGUGGGCUCCUAUCCUUGGUGUUUGUGGGUCCACCCAGAACUCAGUUGCUGCCAUGGUCUCCUGUCAUGCCUUUUCAUCUGUUUGUCCAUAGGCCUACUUUAAAGCUGCUCACUUCUGUAAGGGAGGGAAGGAGGAAUAUACUGGCCCAAAUCUGUGGAGAUCUACCUCCAGUGGCAUCUCUGGAGGUGUUGGAAUUGCUGCUGACCACCACCCUCAACAGGUCUGCACCCACCUGGGAGCAUCCAUCAUCCCCCAGCUUGGUUGUGCCUCUUCUGCGCUUUGUGAUAUUGACUGAGGCUGGGCUUUGGAAGCAGAUCGAUUGACUGCUGGACUGGUGAUUGACUCUAACUCUUGUUUCCAACUAUAUCACGUGAAUCACUGAAAGAUCACAGUGUGAAGAUACAAAACUGUGAGAGAUCUGUGGUAGAGGCUGAGACUGGGGUAGGGGUACUUAACUGGG
Molecule: long non-coding RNA, 1098 nt
Filed under: Lynx canadensis (Canada lynx)
Lineage: Eukaryota; Metazoa; Chordata; Mammalia; Carnivora; Felidae
Description: lncRNA (ENSLCNG00005019353.1)
Source: RNAcentral